RNAcentral lists this ribosomal RNA (465 nucleotides) under uncultured bacterium. RNAcentral's name for it is "partial 16S ribosomal RNA". It matches the Rfam family "Bacterial small subunit ribosomal RNA", at positions 28 to 507 of the family's 1533-position model. The record is from RNAcentral.
GACGAACGCUGGCGGCGUGCUUAACACAUGCAAGUCGAACGGAAAGGCCCUGCUUGCAGGGUACUCGAGUGGCGAACGGGUGAGUAACACGUGGGUGAUCUGCCCUGCACUUCGGGAUAAGCCUGGGAAACUGGGUCUAAUACCGGAUAGGAGCCAUUUUUAGUGUGAUGGUUGGAAAGUUUUUUCGGUGUAGGAUGAGCUCGCGGCCUAUCAGCUUGUUGGUGGGGUAAUGGCCUACCAAGGCGGCGACGGGUAGCCGGCCUGAGAGGGUGGACGGCCACAUUGGGACUGAGCUACGGCCCAGACUCCGACGGGAGGCAGCAGUGGGGAAUAUUGCACAAUGGGCGCAAGCCUGAUGCAGCGACGCCGCGUGGGGGAUGACGGACUUCGGGUUGUAAACUCCUUUCGCUAGGGACGAAGCUUUUUGUGACGGUACCUAGAUAAGAAGCACCGGCUAACUACGUG